UACGACGGGGGCUAGCGUUGUUCGGAAUUACUGGGCGUAAAGCGCACGUAGGCGGAUUUGUAAGUCAGGGGUGAAAUCCCGGGGCUCAACCUCGGAACUGCCUUUGAUACUGCAAGUCUUGAGUCCGAUAGAGGUGAGUGGAAUUCCUAGUGUAGAGGUGAAAUUCGUAGAUAUUAGGAAGAACACCAGUGGCGAAGGCGGCUCACUGGAGCGGUACUGACGCUGAGGUGCGAAAGCGUGGGGAGCAAACAGG
RNAcentral lists this ribosomal RNA (253 nucleotides) under uncultured bacterium. RNAcentral describes it as "partial 16S ribosomal RNA". It matches the Rfam family "Bacterial small subunit ribosomal RNA", at positions 524 to 776 of the family's 1533-position model. The record is from RNAcentral.